GACGAACGCUGGCGGCGUGCCUAAUACAUGCAAGUAGAACGCUGAAGGAGGAGCUUGCUUCUCUGGAUGAGUUGCGAACGGGUGAGUAACGCGUAGGUAACCUGCCUGGUAGCGGGGGAUAACUAUUGGAAACGAUAGCUAAUACCGCAUAAUAGUAGAUGUUGCAUGACAUUUGCUUAAAAGGUGCAAUUGCAUCACUACCAGAUGGACCUGCGUUGUAUUAGCUAGUUGGUGGGGUAACGGCUCACCAAGGCGACGAUACAUAGCCGACCUGAGAGGGUGAUCGGCCACACUGGGACUGAGACAAGGCCCAGACUCCUACGGGAGGCAGCAGUAGGGAAUCUUCGGCCAUGGACGGAAGUCUGAACGAGCAACGCCGCGUGAGUGAAGAAGGGUUUCGGAUCGUAAAGCUCUGUUGUAAGAGAAGAAAGAGUGUGAGAGUGGAAAGUUCACAAUGUGACGGUAUCUUACCAGAAAGGGACGGCUAACUACGUG
Molecule: ribosomal RNA, 495 nt
Filed under: uncultured bacterium
Lineage: Bacteria
Description: partial 16S ribosomal RNA
Rfam family: Bacterial small subunit ribosomal RNA
Source: RNAcentral